AGGUAUAUUAUAUAUACAGGUGUUUAUAUAACUCAAUCAGGGAACCUCGUGCAAGUCGGGGACGAGCCCGUCGCUGUAACCCUGCCCUUUUCUUUUGGUGAAAAGGGAACCCUUUUAGCAUUAAAAAUGUCACUGUUCCAAUUACCCGGGAUGGGAAGGCCGCUAAAAAGGCAGGGAAGUCAGAAGACCUGCCUGAAUCAAAUAAUGCUU
This 210-nucleotide non-coding RNA is filed under the name Desulfobacteraceae bacterium. Lineage: Bacteria; Pseudomonadati; Thermodesulfobacteriota; Desulfobacteria; Desulfobacterales; Desulfobacteraceae. The record is from RNAcentral.